AAGCCAUGAGUUGGGCAUUGAAGCACCAACUUCUUGAAUCGUAGCCAAGUUUCAUGAAUGGUCUCAUCAUCCUCAUGUUUGAAUCUCUUAAUUUUAUCCUGAAGAUU
Molecule: non-coding RNA, 107 nt
Organism: Solanum lycopersicum (tomato)
Lineage: Eukaryota; Viridiplantae; Streptophyta; Magnoliopsida; Solanales; Solanaceae
Source: Rfam